UAAUGUGGGGCAUUUUAAAAUAUUCUCAUUAUCAGAAAGUAAGUGCUUAGUAUUUUCUGGAAAAGAGUUCUGGUUGUGCACCCGACAGGACUAGUCAUUUUUUGAAAGGUUGGCCUCCACGUCUUGCGCUGGGGUGAACGACAGCUCCUGGCACUCGGCUGGGGGACAUCGCGCCGGGAGGCUGCUUCAGGAAGCUGAACAUAAAAGCAAAGGCUGAACAGAUCCCCCUCUCAAUCCACCUAAGUACAGCAACUGGCAUGUAAUGAGUUCUGCAGAGAUGGAUCAUCAUCAGCGCACACAGACAUUUCUGGUUUUCUGUUUGAUUAGCUCCCUGGAUUCCCCAAACUUUUGGGAGCAGAGGAAGGGAGAAGUAGAGAGUAUCUUUCAUAUAUAUCUGUAUCUAAAGGCAACUUUCAGCUCAGUAAUGCUUCUCAGGACUUUUCUGUAUUCAUUGGCUGGAAGAAUGGUUUGGAUUGACAUGGAGUUUCCAUCUAUAUUCCAAGGAAGAAGCGCUUUGGACACUGGUUGUGCUAAAACACGUAUCUGCUUCUUGGAACUGAAGAUGCCUCCUGGAACCACACCUGGAACAUUUGGAAAUUUGGAUUUGCCUGGGGGUAGUCACAGCUGAAAUCUCAGCUUCACUGAUGUGUGAGGUAUUUAAUAUCUUCCCUCAUUGCACUGGAUCUUUGAUCUUGGAGAUGGUCUUCCACUGAUAAAGAUGAGCUGAAGCGUGGCAGAACCGAGCUGACCAACUGCAGACUGGAAGGGCCUCAAGCCAUCAGCGCACUUGAUUUCCCUCCGAGACAGUGUGCGAACACUCCUUGCAGCUGCUGUGGGGGUGCUUGCCUGCCUGGUAGCACUUCCUUCAUCUUUCUUUGCAAGCUGUGGCAUUCCAGGAACUUCUGCACUUUUCCUUUGGUGAGGUUUUCUUUUUUGUCCUUCUCAAGGAAGCAAUGGCUUGCAGAGAAGGUGCUAGCAAACCUGGCUCGUGCUUCCAGUGCAUUUUUAAAAAAUGAGAACAUCCUUUCAGUAAUCCAUGUUUGCAUUAGAUGGAAAUGUUUUGGCUUCUCUCCUGUCCUUGAAAGCCCAGUGGUGCAAGAGGAAUUUGGGAAAUGCAGGCUCUCAAAAGUAAUGUAAAGAACAGAUCCACCGAUUCAAAUGCAAAUUGCUAAAGAAGAGAACAAGGGAAUUAUUUCCCCCCCCCCCCCCCAAAAAAAAAGACAAAAUAAUUCAUUCUGUUUAACUUAGGGCCACAUCCCACAUUUUUUAGGUGGUUUGUCUGUCAAAAGUUGUGGGAUGUGCUGUCUCCAAAUUCUGUUCUGCUGUUGGGACACCCACUUAAAGAGACACUGAAGCUUUUUCCUGUCAGAAGGUUACUGUCACAUAUGGGGCUGUCACUCCAGAUUUUGUGGGAGGAACAAACCUUUUGCCUUUAUGCUUGCAAAAGUUGACAGUAAUAGCUGAAAAUAAGCCAAAAACCCAUGCAUGUAAAUCAAAUGCACACUGUGAGCGGUAUGUGUUUCUGCUCUCUUUGGGGCUGCACUGAAACAGCCCAGUCCUGUGUCAGCUUGCACCGCCAGCAGCUAACAGGCAAUCUCCAUUUACUUUAGGGAGGAUUCCAGUAUAUUCUGUGAAAUACCCAGCAACUGCAGCAUGCCCAGCUUGUUGACAGCUGGAGAGAACCGAAUGGCCACAGAUCUGUUAUGAAUGAGAGCCAUACAGCCGAUUUUGGAAGGAGCACCCCACGCUGUUAGUGCUUGUCUUGUGCAUAUAAACAGCAGGCAAAAUGAAAACCAUCUUUUCUACCUAACAUUGCCAAGUCUAAAAGAAGGUGGAGAUUCCUGCUUGUAGUACUCAGGGAAUACAGAUCACUAAGCCUGGAAGAGAGAAACAAGUAUUUGUGAUGAAAGACCCAUUUUUUCAUGUUCCCUUUGAGGACUGUAAAGCAUUCAGAAACUCUAGUGCUGAGCAUGGCAAGAAUGCCAGCAUCAAGAAGAGCGAAACUCUCAUUUACUGCUGCUGUGAGCUAUAUAAGGUGUGUAAAGGGCUGUUAAUCUUGGAUACAAGCACAGUUACACCCAUCUUCUCACUAGAGCCCACCUUUGCCUUUGCCGGAGCUACGCCAAGGUGUGCCUGAUCAGGCCUCCAGUGCUGGAGCUCCAGGCGUCUGUCACCUCCGCUUUUACGAGUGUUGAGACUGACAAAACCCUUCAGUCUGGACAUCCUCAGAGUGUGAGGAAGUUCAGCAAGGCAGCUCAGGUUUAUGAUGCUAAUGGCUAAGAUCAAUUGAUAUUCACUUGUAAGGCACUGUACAUGCAGCUUCCACGGCUACUUCAUGUGUCUUCUAAAUGUAACUUUUCUGCCUCAUUUUUAUCAUAGAGAAUGGGGUUGAUUUAAUUAUUGUUUUUUUCUUUGGUCUCUGGCUCCUGUGUUUUUCUUACACCUUCCUCCAGUUCCUACUCUUUGUUUUUCCUCAGAUAACAGAGAGCUCUUUCCCCAGCACACCUCAGACCUCAUGAUCCCAGCAUGCACACCCAGGUGGUUAGAAGCAUAAAGUCUAUGCAGCCGCGGAGUAUUUACCUGUUUGUGUUGGAUGAUGUGUGUGCAAUUUCCAUGUCUUUAAAAGGCUACUUCCCUCCAGGGCAGCAAAAAAAAAAAAUAAAAUAAAAUAAAAUAAAUAAAUAAAAAAAAUCAAACUCUUUUAAAAUAAAGAUUUUAGGAAGGAAAAUA
Long non-coding RNA from Dromaius novaehollandiae (emu), 2730 nucleotides. RefSeq lists it as uncharacterized. The record is from RefSeq and is a predicted model, not a curated record. The transcript is spliced from 2 exons. Lineage: Eukaryota; Metazoa; Chordata; Aves; Casuariiformes; Dromaiidae.